This is a long non-coding RNA of Arabidopsis thaliana (thale cress), 310 nucleotides long. RefSeq annotates it as other RNA. The record is from RefSeq. NCBI's taxonomy places the organism in Eukaryota, Viridiplantae, Streptophyta, Magnoliopsida, Brassicales, Brassicaceae. The transcript has a single exon.
UGGUGUCUACGUCAUGUUGUGAUUAGUUUACGAUUAGGGUGAAUUGUAGAGACGAAAGAACUGGGGUUGGUGAAUUGCAGACACCAAUCUCGUAAUUCGGGUGAAUUGGAGAACUGGAGAUUGGGAUAAAAACGUCAAUGCAACUAGGAGAGAAAUGCCUAAUUGUAGUAGCACAUUGAAAAGUACCUAUUUGGACAAAGCACAUAGAAAAAAAGGCAAGAUCUCGUAAUUGAUCCUACUUUAUAAUCAUUGACCAUACUUGGCCUUGUACUCUCUACAUAGCUGUCAAAUCGGAUGGAGAUGAGGUUUU